RNAcentral lists this unclassified non-coding RNA (336 nucleotides) under soil metagenome. Its description in RNAcentral is "partial contains 5.8S ribosomal RNA, internal transcribed spacer 2, and large subunit ribosomal RNA". The stretch from base 1 to 120 matches the Rfam family "5.8S ribosomal RNA", at positions 35 to 154 of the family's 154-position model. The record is from RNAcentral.
GAUGAAGAACGCAGCGAAAUGCGAUAAGUAAUGUGAAUUGCAGAAUUCAGUGAAUCAUCGAAUCUUUGAACGCACAUUGCGCCCGCCAGUAUUCUGGCGGGCAUGCCUGUUCGAGCAUCAUUUCAACCAUCAAGCCCCAGGCUUGUGUUGGGGACCUGCGGCUGCCGCAGGCCCUGAAAACCAGUGGCGGGCUCGCUGUCACACCGGGCGUAGUAGAUUUUAUCUCGCUCAGGGCGUGCUGCGGGUUCCGGCCGUUAAAAAGCCUUUUUUACCCAAGGUUGACCUCGGAUCAGGUAGGAAGACCCGCUGAACUUAAGCAUAUCAAUAAGCGGAGGA